GCACGAAACCAUCCUAUUCAAAACAAAGGCAAAUUGCGCUCCAGAUGCCUAGACUGUCUUUCGAUUAUACGAUGAAUGCGAAGGCGGAGUAUCAAUGAAAUGCCGACGCACUAUAAACUCUGGCGUCGAGAGUCUUAGGUUUGCACGCGGGGCAAUCGCUGAAGCUAGUCGUGUAUUUUUUCACAUACCCAAAAACGAAAUGGGGCAGCUGGUGGUGCAGAAAGAGGACAUU
Paramuricea clavata is the source of this 232-nucleotide non-coding RNA. NCBI's taxonomy places the organism in Eukaryota, Metazoa, Cnidaria, Anthozoa, Malacalcyonacea, Plexauridae. The record is from the annotation of a GenBank genome assembly.